GACGAACGCUGGCGGCGUGGAUUAGGCAUGCAAGUCGCGCGACGGUAUUCCUUCGGGAGUAUACGGAGCGGCGAACGGGUGAGUAACACGUGAGGAACCUGUCCCUACAUUCCGGAUAAUUGGCCGAAAGGCCUUGUAAUACGGGGGAGGGUCUUUGAGGGGCAUCCCUUAAAGAAGGAACGAGCAAUCGGUGCAGGGAGGGUCUCGCGGCCUAUCAGCUUGUUGGUGGGUAAAGCCUACCAAGGCGACGACGGGUAGCUGGUCUGAGAGGAUGGUCAGCCACAUUGGAACUGAGACACUGUCCAGA
RNAcentral lists this ribosomal RNA (307 nucleotides) under uncultured bacterium. Its description in RNAcentral is "bacterial SSU rRNA". It matches the Rfam family "Bacterial small subunit ribosomal RNA", at positions 28 to 335 of the family's 1533-position model. The record is from RNAcentral.